UUAUACAUAAAAUGUGUUGAGAAUACACUUUCGUUUAGACUAAUCGAUUGAUGCUCAAAAUUUGUAUAUUCCCAAUUCAAUUCUGAGUAUAUUUGGGUUGCCAAUAUUCAAAUAGAAACUAAAACUCGAUUACGCAGCUCUGUAUAAAAAGUAGUUGUUGUUGCAAUGCUUUUGGCAGGGGAUGUCAUAGCAAAAAAGCUCAUCCGUACGGUAUUUGACUGGUGGUUUGAGAAAUUAUAAUUCCAAUGAAAAAUGGUUUUAUGAGUAUCUCAAAUACUUAAAUCGUUAAUAAACGUCUUUAAAUUAAGCAGAAGGACAUUAUUCGUUUGUUGCUUCGGGAUCCCAUUUGAAAGGGAACAGGAAAUGUACAGAAAUCGCGUUGCGAGGAACACAGGGAGAUAUAAAAAAAAUGUUCCGACACGAUUUAUACUAAGUGGUGGAGGACGGACAGCAACCGAAACUCAACGGAUCGGAAUACAAAGAAGAAAAACUAGACGUUAACCUACAUGAAGGUUCACUAAUAAUUGCUAAAAGAAGUUAACGUUCCAAAAAUGGUUCAAAGAAAACAGGAAUAAAAUGAGCCUGAUAGAUCGGAAAAGAUAAAAGCCGGAAGAAUUCUCGUGCAUUGCAAUGAAGCAGGAUGCUAACUACUUGGCUGAGAACCCUCUGUGGAAAGUCUACUUUCGGUGUUCUUCGAAGCGCACCCAAAGGAUAAGGGCAUCGUAUAGUGCGUGGGCUAUCAGAAAUAUAUGCAGAAAUAUAUUCGGUGCUGCGAGACGCCGGCGGCCAACUUUUAAUUGUGGCCCCUUAACUACGGAACAUGCCCGGAAUUUGCUGCCGUAAUCGCCCAGUACACCAUCUGUAAUCUACAAAAUACAGAUCCAGUGCCAUCUAAAGCAAAAGGAUUGCUCGAGCGGAAGUCUUACUUUUCGAGAUAACCAGAAUAUCACUGGAAUGCUUUGGCUGCAAAAUACUAUUCGAUACACCGAUACUAUUUCAUGUAAUAUAUUGUUUAUGUUUGUAAAAUGAUUCUAAAGACAAUAAAAAC
This is a long non-coding RNA of Uranotaenia lowii, 1048 nucleotides long. RefSeq lists it as uncharacterized. Lineage: Eukaryota; Metazoa; Arthropoda; Insecta; Diptera; Culicidae. The record is from RefSeq and is a predicted model, not a curated record. The transcript is spliced from 4 exons.